UUGACCUCGGAUCAGGUAGGGAUACCCGCUGAACUUACAACAGGGAUUGCCCUAGUAACGGCGAGUGAAGCGGCAACAGCUCAAAUUUGAAAUCUGGCGUCUUUGGCGUCCGAGUUGUAAUUUGCAGAGGGCGCUUUGGCAUUGGCAGCGGUCCAAGUUCCUUGGAACAGGACGUCACAGAGGGUGAGAAUCCCGUACGUGGUCGCUAGCCUUUACCGUGUAAAGCCCCUUCGACGAGUCGAGUUGUUUGGGAAUGCAGCUCUAAAUGGGAGGUAAAUUUCUUCUAAAGCUAAAUACUGGCCAGAGACCGAUAGCGCACAAGUAGAGUGAUCGAAAGAUGAAAAGCACUUUGGAAAGAGAGUUAAAAAGCACGUGAAAUUGUUGAAAGGGAAGCGCUUGCAGCCAGACUUGCCUGUAGUUGCUCAUCCGGGUUUUUACCCGGUGCACUCUUCUAUAGGCAGGCCAGCAUCAGUUUGGGCGGUUGGAUAAAGGUCUCUGUCAUGUACCUCUCUUCGGGGAGAACUUAUAGGGGAGACGACAUGCAACCAGCCUGGACUGAGGUCCGCGCAUCUGCUAGGAUGCUGGCGUAAUGGCUGUAAGCGG
This 603-nucleotide ribosomal RNA is filed under the name Phoma herbarum. RNAcentral describes it as "eukaryotic LSU rRNA". It matches the Rfam family "Eukaryotic large subunit ribosomal RNA", at positions 1 to 647 of the family's 3401-position model. The record is from RNAcentral. Lineage: Eukaryota; Fungi; Ascomycota; Dothideomycetes; Pleosporales; Didymellaceae.